This 315-nucleotide ribosomal RNA is filed under the name uncultured bacterium. RNAcentral's name for it is "bacterial SSU rRNA". It matches the Rfam family "Bacterial small subunit ribosomal RNA", at positions 28 to 334 of the family's 1533-position model. The record is from RNAcentral.
GAUGAACGCUAGCUACAGGCUUAACACAUGCAAGUCGAGGGGCAUCAGGAAGAAAGCUUGCUUUCUUUGCUGGCGACCGGCGCACGGGUGAGUAACACGUAUCCAACCUUCCGUUUACUCAGGGAUAGCCUUUCGAAAGAAAGAUUAAUACCUGAUAGUAUCGAGAGAUUGCAUGAUAGCCCGAUUAAAGACCUAUCGGUAAACGAUGGGGAUGCGUUCCAUUAGCUUGUUGGCGGGGUAACGGCCCACCAAACCUACGAUGGAUAGGGGUUCUGAGAGGAAGGUCCCCCACAUUGGAACUGAGACACGGUCCAA